UACGGAGGAUGCAAGCGUUAUCCGGAAUGAUUGGGCGUAAAGCGUCCGCAGGUGGCAAUGUAAGUCUGCUGUUAAAGAGUCUAGCUCAACUAGAUAAGAGCAGUGGAAACUACAUAGCUAGAGUACGUUCGGGGCAGAGGGAAUUCCUGGUGUAGCGGUGAAAUGCGUAGAGAUCAGGAAGAACACCAGUGGCGAAGGCGCUCUGCUAGGCCGUAACUGACACUGAGGGACGAAAGCGAGGGGAGCGAAUGGG
This 253-nucleotide ribosomal RNA is filed under the name uncultured bacterium. RNAcentral describes it as "partial 16S ribosomal RNA". It matches the Rfam family "Bacterial small subunit ribosomal RNA", at positions 524 to 776 of the family's 1533-position model. The record is from RNAcentral.